This 439-nucleotide ribosomal RNA is filed under the name uncultured bacterium. RNAcentral describes it as "partial 16S ribosomal RNA". It matches the Rfam family "Bacterial small subunit ribosomal RNA", at positions 338 to 795 of the family's 1533-position model. The record is from RNAcentral.
CCUACGGGAGGCAGCAGUGGGGAAUAUUGCACAAUGGGCGCAAGCCUGAUGCAGCAACGCCGCGUGAGUGAUGAAGGCCUUCUGGUCGUAAAGCUCUGUCCUCAAGGAAGAUAAUGACGGUACGUGCGGAGGAAGCCCCGGCUAACUACGUGCCAGCAGCCGCGGUCAUACGUGGGGGGCUAGCGUUAUCCUGAUUUACUGGGCGAAAAGGUUGAGUAGGUGGAUUCUUAAGUCAGAGGUAAAAGGCUAGGGCUAAACCGUGGUGAGCCUUUGAAACUGGGGAGCUUGAGUGCAGGAGAGGUAAGCGGAAUUCCUGGUGUAGCGGUGAAAUGCGUAGAUAUUAGGAAGAACACCAGUUGCGAAGGCGGCUUACUGGACUGUAACUGACGCUGAGGCACGAAAGCGUGGGGAGCAAACAGGAUUAGAUACCCUUGUAGUC